CAAAGGCUUGGUCCUGACUUUACUAUUGGCCUCGAUUAUACUUAUACAUGCAAGUAUCUGCACCCCUGUGAGAAUGCCCUCAACCCCCGACCGGGGCUAGGGAGCUGGUAUCAGGCACAAACUUUAGCCCAUGACGCCUUGCUUAGCCACACCCCUAAGGGUACUCAGCAGUAAUAAACAUUAAGCCAUAAGCGUCAGCUUGACUUAAUUAAGAUCACUAGGACCGGUAAAACUCGUGCCAGCCACCGCGGUUAUACGAGAGGUCCAAGUCAAUAGUACCCGGCGUAAAGAGUGGUUAGGAGAACUAAAAACUAGAGCCCUACAUCCCCAUGGCUGUUAUACGCACCCGGGGAAUGGAUGACCUCCUACGAAAGUGGCUUUAAUAUAACUGAACCCACGAAAGCUAUAGAACAAACUGGGAUUAGAUACCCCACUAUGUAUAGCUGUAAACUUCGAUAGCUCAAGUACAUUAACUAUCCGCCCGGGUACUACGAGCGUUAGCUUGAAACCCAAAGGACUUGGCGGUGCCUCAGACCCCCCUAGAGGAGCCUGUUCUAGAACCGAUACCCCCCGUUAAACCUUUCCCUCUCUAGUUCCCACUGCCUAUAUACCGCCGCCGUCAGCUUACCCUAUGAAGGGAUAAUAGUAAGCAUAAAUGGUAAAGCCUAAAACGUCAGGUCGAGGUGUAGCGCAUGAGAAGGUAGAAAUGGGCUACAUUCUCUGAUUCAGGGUACCACGGAAGAGGGAUUGAAAUAUCCCUUUGAAGGAGGAUUUAGCAGUAAGUGGAGAAAUAGAGUGUCCCGCUGAAGCCGGCUCUGAGGCGCGCACAUACCGCCCGUCGCUCUCCCCCAGUGUUUAUGCUAUAACUAUAUUUUAAUACCCCAUAAUUAACUAAGAGGAGAUAAGUCGUAACAUGGUAAGUGUACCGGAAGGUGUACUUGGAAUAAU
This 948-nucleotide non-coding RNA is filed under the name Zu cristatus (scalloped ribbonfish). RNAcentral describes it as "12S rRNA". It matches the Rfam family "Bacterial small subunit ribosomal RNA". Lineage: Eukaryota; Metazoa; Chordata; Actinopteri; Lampriformes; Trachipteridae. The record is from RNAcentral.